RNAcentral lists this ribosomal RNA (381 nucleotides) under uncultured eukaryote. RNAcentral describes it as "partial 18S ribosomal RNA". It matches the Rfam family "Eukaryotic small subunit ribosomal RNA", at positions 592 to 975 of the family's 1831-position model. The record is from RNAcentral.
CAAUAGCGUAUAUUAAAGUUGUUGCAGUUAAAAAGCUCGUAGUUGGAUUUCUGGUUGAAGCGACCGGUCGGGCGUUGAUUCGUCUGCACUGGAGUCGGUUUUGGCCAUCCUCUAGGAAAGUGCGUCUGGUAUUAAGUUAUCGGGCGUAUGGUCCUGGUCUUUUACUGUGAAAAAAUUAGAGUGUUUAAAGCAGGCCUUCGCCUUGAAUACAUUAGCAUGGAAUAAUAAGAUAGGACUUUGGUCUAUUUUGUUGGUUUGCAGACCGAAGUAAUGAUUAAUAGGGAUAGUUGGGGGUAUUUAUAUUCCGAUGUCAGAGGUGAAAUUCUUAGAUUUUCGGAAGAUAAACUUAUGCGAAAGCAUUUACCAAGGAUGUUUNCAUUA